Linepithema humile (Argentine ant) is the source of this 993-nucleotide long non-coding RNA. RefSeq lists it as uncharacterized. NCBI's taxonomy places the organism in Eukaryota, Metazoa, Arthropoda, Insecta, Hymenoptera, Formicidae. The record is from RefSeq and is a predicted model, not a curated record.
ACGAAGUAACGAGACGAACGGAACGGCGUGUGCACGAAGCCACGUAUUUCCGUAUGAUUACAUUGCUGUCGAGCGAUUACGGCAGGAACGUACGUGGACUAAUUUAGGGUUUGACUUAUCGAUCGUCGUAAAAAGGAGGACGUUAAAUAUGUACACGAUGGAAAUUCCCAAAAAAGAGGUUAUGAUCUUUCGGACGAUUCGGACUGUAUUCGUUACAGUUUACCUUCCAAUUUCCAAAAAUCUGGAUUUUUACAUUGAUCAUCAUUGACGAAAGAUGCCUUAAUCAUAAAAGCAAAAUUUAUCACAAGAAGAAUGCGGUGAAGCUCCAUGUGCCAAAAAUGUGUUAUUGGGUCGAAGGCUAUGAUAAUUCACUAUUUUGCAGAAUUAUUCAUUUUCUAAUCACGAUUUUAUUUUAAUUGACUGACGUUCCUGAAAUAUUAAUGGAAUCGCCGAGACGCGAAGAUACCAAUAAUGACAUUUGAAAUUAUUCACUCGCAGGAAAGUAGCCUUCAACUGCGAUAAAUGUGAUAUGUAAUCACCUGCGAACAACCUGGAAACAUCAAUAGUCAUGAAUUUUGGAGCUGUCACUCGCGCGGAAAAACUUGACUGUAAAAAAGAUUUGCAAAAGUGCAUGUUGAAAUUCGAGGAGGAACGAUGUGAACUAAUGGUUGCUUCAUCGCAUCGAUCCUGAACCAUAAACGAGCCCUACUGGGAGGUAGUUUCACCUUUUAGAACAUCGCACAUCGCUUUGGGAUCGCGACUCAAGUAAGAAAUCCAAUUAAUUAAUUCAGAAAAAUUCGCAUCAAAUCUUUAAGAAAAUCUACAGUCACUUCUUUAAAUUCCGACGCAAAAACCUAAGGUCGCUAUGAGCCUGUUAGGAUAAAUCCUGUCCUUUAUCGCGAUGCCACAAAUGCGAAAGGAUGUCGACAUUGACGUCAACGUUGCGGCGAACGCUUCCUCUGAUUUUUUUUCUAACUCCGCGGACACUUACGU